This 889-nucleotide long non-coding RNA is filed under the name Hordeum vulgare. Its description in RNAcentral is "long non-coding RNA (HVUL_LNC009623)". Lineage: Eukaryota; Viridiplantae; Streptophyta; Magnoliopsida; Poales; Poaceae. The record is from RNAcentral.
AUCUCAAUAGAGUAUCAACGAUGACAGAGACGACAUUGAUCGGAGUAAAUCGGAUUUAGCCCGGCGAUAUCGAUCAUGAGACCAUGUUUCUCGGUGGAUAACAAGUAUAAGUAAAUGGAGAUGUAGAAAUAGCUUACGAACCUUUAUAAGCAUGGCCUUGGAGAUUAGGUGGCCAUGAUAUUGGAUGUUGGUGGAUAUACUGUGGCGUAAUCCCUGCAGUAAUAUGUGAAUUUUGAGGACUCUAAGUGAUUAUUUAGAAUCCCAUGAAUACUAGAUUUGUAGGAGAAAAGGGUCAAGUGCAUAUUGGUGGAAUGAUGAUACACUUGAUUGGAUUCGUAGGAAGGAAACCAAACCUUCGAUUGGUAUACUACGUGUUUCCUUAAUGUAGGAAUGCAGUACCCUGUCGAUGGGAUACUCGAGAUGAGCACUUGGAUUGUAGCAUCUCUGUUCAAGCUUAGCAGCUUGUAUGCCUUUUCGAGGACUUUUACAUAAGGAUACAUGUGCAACUUAGCCAUAGUACACUAUAAGAUUUAAGUCAUGAUCUUUUCCUCAUAUCCUAGAGUUGACCAACAUGGAUAAGGUGGAGUUGAUUUAUGUGAGUUGAUACUGUCGAUGAUAUGAGGUGAUUUUGUCUGGACUGAGAGGUUAGACUUUUGGCAUCUAAGGAACGCGCUUAGGGAUAGGACGAUACACGUUCACUCAUAUCCUAUGUUCCUUAAAAUCCCAGACUCCACCGAUCGCCAUGCCUCUAGAGAGCGAGCCAUUGCAACCCUCCUGUAGCCGAAGACAAUUCCCCGCAGACGAGGUGAAGCAUCGACGCGAUUGAGAAGCCACGACAAUGGAGAAGAAACAACAAGGUUCAUUGCAACUCCUAUGCCAUAUAUGCCGC